This 484-nucleotide ribosomal RNA is filed under the name uncultured bacterium. RNAcentral describes it as "partial 16S ribosomal RNA". It matches the Rfam family "Bacterial small subunit ribosomal RNA", at positions 30 to 507 of the family's 1533-position model. The record is from RNAcentral.
AUUGAACGCUGGCGGCAGGCCUAACACAUGCAAGUCGAGCGGAUGAAGGGAGCUUUCUCCUGGAUUCAGCGGCGGACGGGUGAGUAAUGCCUAGGAAUCUGCCUGGUAGUUGGGGAUAACGUCCGGUAACGGGCGCUAAUACCGCAUACGUCCUGAGGUAGAAAGUGGGGGAUCUUCGGACCUCACGCUAUCAGAUGAGCCUAGGUCGGAUUAGCUAGUUGGUGUGGUAAAGGCCUACCAAGGCGACGAUCCGUAACUGGUCUGAGAGGAUGAUCAGUCACACUGGAACUGAGACACGGUCCAGACUCCUACGGGAGGCAGCAGUGGGGAAUAUUGGACAAUGGGCGAAAGCCUGAUCCAGCAAUGCCGCGUGUGUGAAGAAGGUCUUCGGAUUGUAAAGCACUUUAAGUUGGGAGGAAGGGAAGUAAGUUAAUACCUUGCUGUUUUGACGUUACCAACAGAAAAAGCACCGGCUAACUUCGUG